UCUAUUGCUGGCAAUCUUGCCUCCCCCUUCAGAGAAGGCAGUGGCACCCCACUCCAGUACUCUUCCCUGGAAAAUCCUAUGGACGGAGGAGCCUGCUUGUGCUUCAUCCAGUCCAGCGUUUCACAUGAUGUACUAUGAUGAUGGAAGCUGAGAAGUCCCAGAGCUGCCCUGGUGUCUGCAAGCUGGAGGCCCAGGGAAGCUGGUGGUGUGAUUCCUCUCCAAACCUGGAUGCCGGAGAACAAGAGGAGCCAAGAACAUCAGUCCCAGUCUGGGUCCAAAAGGCCUGCGGACUGAUACGUGACCAGAGGCGUCUGGGUCUCCUUGGAGUAGGACACUGCCUCCCUGGGCAGGAAAUGCGCUUGGGUAAACUUCAACAGGCCUAGCUUACGCAGUCUUCUUGUGUUCAUGGUCCCAAGUCUCCUGAGUCUUGGCUUCCAGCUUCACUGGGAGCGAUCACUGAUUUCGAGGAUACAGAUGUAGGGAUUUGGAUCAGAGCGGGCUCCAGACAGAUUCCAUACUUUGUAGCAGGGCCUCUGUCUCUCAUUGUUUGCAAUCCAGGUCAGAGUCAUCCUGAACUGGAUCUUUAUUCUGCUGCAUAUCAGCCUCUUUUGUUUCUCUCUCCUCUUCCUUCAUUUUCCAAUCGUCCCUUAGCUGUGCUCAGAGCUGCUUUUUGCGCUGGACUUCAGCUUUUCACUCACUUUUGUUAGACAUCUGUUUCUGGGUUCUCCACACCAAGUCCUUCCUCUCUUGGUCCUCUGAAGACAGACGCUCCUCACCAGUCAACCACGCACAGGCACCUCCUCCCACUCUUCUUCACCUUGUCCUUCAGUAGCAGCACUUCCUGGCAGGUCCUAAAGAGACUGGGCUCCUGUCAGAGUGAAUGGAACCCCACAGUGCCCCAAAACUGAAGCCCUGGUGGGUCCUGAGGGGAGCCAGCUCCCAUUAGUGUGGACUUGAUAACCCCCCACCCCUGCCCGUGUUCCGGAAGCCAAAGCAGGUUCUGGAGAUGGGACUCCUGUCAGCUGUCAAGACAUCAUUUCUUAAAAUUUGCUUGUGGUGUAGAAUCUGAGAACAUGUCAAUGAGUUUUUUUCUCUGUAACUCAAAACUGAUUGGUCCAUCUUGUACCUUGAAUGGUUCUUUUAUCCAUACAUGAUUCUGUAGCAUCAUGCAUGGAUCAUUUGGAAAAUAUUGGGUCACUUAAGUUAUACAGCUCUUCCAAAUGUUGACACAUAUUGUUAUACAAUGUUUUUAAAAACACUAUUGUUUAUGUCACUGUCCAUCUCCUCAGAAAAAUCUUUAUAGAUUUGAAAUUUGUCAAGGUCAUAGUAGUGGGUAGAAGUUUCCCAAAAUUCCAAUGUUUGCUUGAGAGGUCAAUUUUCUUUCUUUCUUCUUUUUUUCUUUUUGACUGCACCACACAGCAUUCAGGAUCUUAGUCCCCAGACCUAGGAUGGAAUCUACGCCCUGUGCAGUGCAAGUGUGAAGUCUUAACCCCUGGACUGCUAGGGAAGUCCCUCAAAUGUUUACUGUUAAUGACAAAUACUGUCAGUUUUCCUUGGAGUGACAGGCUCACUGGAUUUGUUGUUGAGAAAUGUCCACCAACCAGUUUCUCUCUCAGUCAUUCUUUUAAGUAAAGGUGGUGUUCCUGAAGAAAGCAGCUAGUUCAGCUUGAAACUCAAUCAUACAAGUACUUUUCCUUGAGGCUACCUUAGGAUAGAAGUGCUUCAUGUGCCCUAUUUUGAUGCAAAGCUUAUUAAAAAGAUGGGUUGAGAUUUAAUAAAAUUGCUAUUUUUAACUGAUUCAUCAAAGAGAUUUUUAAGUGGAACUGACAUUGUGAAAAAAACAAAACGGAGUGCAUGCUGGUGAAGAAUAAAAGGACCGCUAGUACAGUUUGGUGCCCUGCCUUGGUUUGUGUUAAAAUGCCAUCAGUUUUACCCACCACUGCUUUUGCAAACAUCAAAAGUAAUGAAAAAGGCGAACUAUAUCUUAGUAUUAUCAUGAAAGGGGUUUACCUGGUGGCUCAGUGGUAAAGAAUCUGCCUGCAACGCAGGGGAUUGCUUGCAGUAGAGCAGGUGUGGGUUCUAUCCCUGGGUCAGGAAGAUCCCCUGGAGGAGGGCAUGGCAACCCACUUCAGUGUUCUUGCCUGGGAAAUCCUGCAGAUAGAGGAAUCUGGAGGGGUAUGGUCCUCGGGGUCACACAAAGUCAGACAUGACUUAGCCACUAAACCACCAUCACCAACACCACCAUUAUCAUGAAAACAGUGCCAAACUUAUGGACCAUCUGACAGGGCCUCAGGGACCCAGGCCCAGUGUGUCUGGACCAAGCUUUGAUAACCCUCAGUUUAGAGUGUUUGCUCUCCCUCAAGCGAUAUGAAGACGUCUUGUAAUCAUGGUUCUCUCUCAAGCAUUUUAAUGCUGAAUACAGGGGAGGGACCGCGUUGUCAAACAUCUAGAAAAAUCAGGAUCCUUCGGUGUUUAAGGACAACAGGCCUUGAGAUGCUAGGUGUUCCCAAAGAGAGGAUAGGAAAGAUCUCCCAGAACCUGUGUCUCAGAUAAAAGUGAAGGUUAUUAGGGCCAGCUGAUUUCUUGAUUUCUCUGGGUAACUUUCUUUUUCUUCUUUCCUAGCUGUGGACAGUUAUGAUGAUGUUCUACAUGUGGGAAAGGGAUUUUUGUCUUUCCUUUUUGUCUCCAUUUCCUUCAUAUGAACACGGUUCAGAAUAACCUGCUUUUCAUCACUAAUUAUUAGAGAAAUGAAAAUCAAAACUACAAUGAAAUAUCACCUCACACUGGUCAGAAUGGCUAUCAUCAAAAUAUCCACAAACAAUAAAUACUGGAGAGGGUGUGGAGAGAAGGGAACCCACCUACACUGUUGGUGGGAAUAUAAAUUGGUACAGCCACUAUGGAGAACAGCAUGGAGGUUCCUUAAAAAACUAAAAUGCCCACUGGAAUCCCACUCCUGGUCAUAUACCUGGAGAAAAACAUGAUCUGAAAGGAUACGUACACUCCAGUGUUCACUGCAGCACUGUUUACAAUAGCCAGGACAUGGAAGCAACCUAAAUGUCCAUCAACAGAGGAAUGGAUAAAGAAGAUGUGGCGCAUGUAUACAAUAGAAUAUUACUCAGCCAUUAAAGAAGAAUGAAAUAAUGCCAUUUUCAGCAACAUGAAUGGACCUAGAGAGCACACUGAAUGAAGUAAGUCAGAGAAGGAGAAAUAUCACAU
This is a long non-coding RNA of Bos taurus (domestic cattle), 3216 nucleotides long. NCBI's taxonomy places the organism in Eukaryota, Metazoa, Chordata, Mammalia, Artiodactyla, Bovidae. The record is from Ensembl.